RNAcentral lists this long non-coding RNA (467 nucleotides) under Mytilus galloprovincialis (Mediterranean mussel). The record is from RNAcentral. Lineage: Eukaryota; Metazoa; Mollusca; Bivalvia; Mytilida; Mytilidae.
GUCCGGUAAAGACCGAUUUUGGCCUCAAAUUUCAGGUUCAUCUGACGAAAGAUUUUAACCACUUUUUAAACACUUAAGUAGAUAUAGGAAGAUGUGGUGUGAGUGCCAAUGAGACAACUCUCCAUACAAAUAACAAUUUAAAAAGUAAACCAUUAUAGGUUAAAGUACGGCCUUCAACACGGAGCCUUGGCUCACACCGAACAACAAGCUAUAAAGGGCCCCAAAAUUACUAGUGUAAAACCAUUCAAACGGGAAAACCAACGGUCUAAUCUAUAUAAACAAACGAGAAACGAGAAACACGUAUAUAUUACAUAAACAAACGACAACUACUGUACAUCAGAUUCCUGACUUAGGACAGGUGCAAACAUUUGCAGCGGGAUUAAACGUUUUAAUGGAUCCAAACCUUCUCCCUUUUUCUGAAACAAUAGCAUAACAUCACAACAAAGAAAAACAUACGAUAAAAUAUC